GUGCUCGCUUUGGCAGCACAUAUACUAAAAAUUGGAACGAUACAGAGAAGAUUGGCAUGGCCCCUGCGCAAGGAUGACACGCAGAUUCGUGAAGCGUUCCAUAUUUUU
Molecule: small nuclear RNA, 108 nt
Organism: Cervus elaphus (red deer)
Lineage: Eukaryota; Metazoa; Chordata; Mammalia; Artiodactyla; Cervidae
Source: RefSeq, a predicted model, not a curated record